Long non-coding RNA from Diabrotica virgifera virgifera (western corn rootworm), 152 nucleotides. RefSeq lists it as uncharacterized. The record is from RefSeq and is a predicted model, not a curated record. Lineage: Eukaryota; Metazoa; Arthropoda; Insecta; Coleoptera; Chrysomelidae. The transcript is spliced from 2 exons.
GUCGUCUAGAACCAUCGGGAUCGUCGUCUAGAACCAUCGGGAUCGUCGUCUAGAACCAUCGGGAUCGUCGUCUAGAACCAUCGGGAUCGUCGUCUAGAACCAUCGGGACCGUCGUCUAGAACCAUCAAGACCGUCGUCUAAAACCAUCAAGA